This is a long non-coding RNA of Orcinus orca (killer whale), 318 nucleotides long. RefSeq lists it as uncharacterized. The transcript has 2 exons. The record is from RefSeq and is a predicted model, not a curated record. NCBI's taxonomy places the organism in Eukaryota, Metazoa, Chordata, Mammalia, Artiodactyla, Delphinidae.
CUGGGGUGCCCCAUGUGUGGGUGCUAAGAACUGGGUAAAGGGGCCUGCUUAGAAAAGAAAACCCAGGAAAGACAGCGAAUUCCAACAUUUCUUUAAAAGUUAACCACAGGCUUAAAUCCAUAAUGUCAUUCCUGGAAGUGACACCUGAAAUGAAGCGGACUUUUUAAUAUCUCAGGCCGUGCAGCUUGUGGGAUCUUAGUUCUCCGAUUAGGCAUCGAACGCUGGCCCCAGCAACACUGAAAGCUCCUGGCCCUUACCACUGGACCACCAGGGAAUUCCCUAUUUACAGGGAUUAAAAAAAAAAAAACCCAAAACUUU